Molecule: non-coding RNA, 65 nt
Filed under: uncultured Candidatus Pelagibacter sp.
Lineage: Bacteria; Pseudomonadati; Pseudomonadota; Alphaproteobacteria; Candidatus Pelagibacterales; Candidatus Pelagibacteraceae
Description: SAM-V riboswitch
Rfam family: SAM-V (S-adenosyl methionine) riboswitch aptamer
About the family: SAM-V riboswitch is a cis-regulatory element that was recognised in marine bacteria it recognise S-adenosylmethione (SAM). The binding of SAM leads to the association of the triplex third strand in the aptamer of SAM-V riboswitch that stabilizes a short helix and occludes the ribosome binding site.
Source: RNAcentral
AAUUAAACCGGGUAUUUGAACCAUAUUGUACACCUGGCAUUUCGCCGAAGUACUAAAAAGGAGAA